UACGAAGGGGGCGAGCGUUGCUCGGAAUUACUGGGCGUAAAGGGCGCGUAGGCGGCCCGCUAAGUCGAACGUGAAAUCCCUGGGCUCAACCCAGGAACUGCGUCCGAUACUGGCAGGCUUGAAUCCGGGAGAGGGAUGUGGAAUUCCAGGUGUAGCGGUGAAAUGCGUAGAUAUCUGGAGGAACACCGGUGGCGAAGGCGGCAUCCUGGACCGGUAUUGACGCUGAUGCGCGAAAGCCAGGGGAGCAAACGGG
This 253-nucleotide ribosomal RNA is filed under the name uncultured bacterium. RNAcentral's name for it is "partial 16S ribosomal RNA". It matches the Rfam family "Bacterial small subunit ribosomal RNA", at positions 524 to 776 of the family's 1533-position model. The record is from RNAcentral.